RNAcentral lists this ribosomal RNA (279 nucleotides) under uncultured bacterium. RNAcentral's name for it is "partial 16S ribosomal RNA". It matches the Rfam family "Bacterial small subunit ribosomal RNA", at positions 506 to 784 of the family's 1533-position model. The record is from RNAcentral.
UGCCAGCCGCCGCGGUAACACGGGGGGCGCAAGCGUUAUUCGGAAUUAUUGGGCGUAAAGGGCGCGCAGGCGGUCUUGUCCGUCAGGUGUGAAAGCUCGGGGCUCAACCCCGGAAGUGCACUUGAAACAGCAAGACUUGAAUACGGUAGAGGAGAGAGGAAUUCCUGGUGUAGAGGUGAAAUUCGUAGAUACCAGGAGGAACACCAGUGGCGAAAGCGGCUUCCUGGCCCGAUAUUGACGCUCAUGUACGAAAGCGUGGGGAGCAAACAGGAUUAGAUA